Molecule: ribosomal RNA, 440 nt
Filed under: uncultured Alphaproteobacteria bacterium
Lineage: Bacteria; Pseudomonadati; Pseudomonadota; Alphaproteobacteria
Description: partial 16S ribosomal RNA
Source: RNAcentral
GACUACAGGGGUAUCUAAUCCUGUUUGCUCCCCACGCUUUCGCGCCUCAGCGUCAGUAGUGGUCCAGAUGGCCGCCUUCGCCACCGGUGUUCUUCCCAAUAUCUACGAAUUUCACCUCUACACUGGGAAUUCCACCAUCCUCUCCCACACUCAAGCGAUCCAGUAUCAAACGCAGUUCCUAGGUUGAGCCCAGGGCUUUCACGCCUGACUAAAAUCGCCGCCUACGCGCCCUUUACGCCCAGUCAUUCCGAACAACGCUAGCCCCCUUCGUAUUACCGCGGCUGCUGGCACGAAGUUAGCCGGGGCUUCUUCUGCGGGUACCGUCAUCAUCGUCCCCGCCGAAAGGGCUUUACAACCCGAAGGCCUUCAUCACCCACGCGGCAUUGCUGGAUCAGGGUUGCCCCCAUUGUCCAAUAUUCCCCACUGCAGCCCCCCGUAGG